Molecule: ribosomal RNA, 425 nt
Filed under: uncultured bacterium
Lineage: Bacteria
Description: partial 16S ribosomal RNA
Rfam family: Bacterial small subunit ribosomal RNA
Source: RNAcentral
GUGGGGAAUAUUGGACAAUGGGCGAAAGCCUGAUCCAGCCAUGCCGCGUGAGUGAUGAAGGCCUUAGGGUUGUAAAGCUCUUUUGUCCGGGAAGAUAAUGACUGUACCGGAAGAAUAAGCCCCGGCUAACUUCGUGCCAGCAGCCGCGGUAAUACGAAGGGGGCUAGCGUUGCUCGGAAUCACUGGGCGUAAAGGGCGCGUAGGCGGACUUUUAAGUCGGAGGUGAAAGCCCAGGGCUCAACCCUGGAAUUGCCUUCGAUACUGGGAGUCUUGAGUUCGGAAGAGGUUGGUGGAACUGCGAGUGUAGAGGUGAAAUUCGUAGAUAUUCGCAAGAACACCGGUGGCGAAGGCGGCCAACUGGUCCGAAACUGACGCUGAGGCGCGAAAGCGUGGGGAGCAAACAGGAUUAGAAACCCUUGUAGUCC